This 179-nucleotide ribosomal RNA is filed under the name Ruellia malacophylla. RNAcentral's name for it is "5.8S ribosomal RNA". The stretch from base 16 to 171 matches the Rfam family "5.8S ribosomal RNA". From Rfam's summary of the family: 5.8S ribosomal RNA (5.8S rRNA) is a component of the large subunit of the eukaryotic ribosome. It is transcribed by RNA polymerase I as part of the 45S precursor that also contains 18S and 28S rRNA. The record is from RNAcentral. Lineage: Eukaryota; Viridiplantae; Streptophyta; Magnoliopsida; Lamiales; Acanthaceae.
CUUGAAUGUCAAAACAACUCUCGGCAACGGAUAUCUCGGCUCUCGCAUCGAUGAAGAACGUAGCGAAAUGCGAUACUUGGUGUGAAUUGCAGAAUCCCGUGAACCAUCGAGUCUUUGAACGCAAGUUGCGCCCGAAGCCUUCGGGCCGAGGGCACGCCUGCCUGGGCGUCACGCAUCGC